GAUCAACCAUCAUUCUAAAAAUAGAACAGGGUGCAGAUUAGAACUAGAUUUCUUACCUGCCCCUAAACUACAAAGCAUCUUCAGUUAGAGGGCCUCAGAAGGUCUGACAGUGAGGGAAAAAAAAGAAGAAGAAGAGGCACAGAGAGGAAAUCAACAGAGACAACAUCGCUCCACAGCAACCGGAAGGAAAACACAUGCACACAUUCGCCACUCGCACAGUCUGUUUGUGGUUGCUCGGUAGGGAAAUGCUUACAGCUGCCUUGCGAAGCAAGUCUGGUUGUGGCAGCAGGAGAGACGCGUAAGUGUGCAGCGCGGCUGAGCCGUCACCACCUGCCCAACCGCCCAGAGAGAGGACCAGGGCGCCAUGGAGACGAGCUGGUCCAGGGGCAGGGGUUCAGCGCCCAGGUUCAUUAA
RNAcentral lists this long non-coding RNA (414 nucleotides) under Dasypus novemcinctus (nine-banded armadillo). RNAcentral describes it as "lncRNA (ENSDNOG00000051455.1)". The record is from RNAcentral. Lineage: Eukaryota; Metazoa; Chordata; Mammalia; Cingulata; Dasypodidae.